RNAcentral lists this ribosomal RNA (465 nucleotides) under uncultured bacterium. Its description in RNAcentral is "partial 16S ribosomal RNA". It matches the Rfam family "Bacterial small subunit ribosomal RNA", at positions 28 to 507 of the family's 1533-position model. The record is from RNAcentral.
GACGAACGCUGGCGGCGUGCUUAACACAUGCAAGUCGAACGGAAAGGCCCUGCUUGCAGGGUACUCGAGUGGCGAACGGGUGAGUAACACGUGGGUGAUCUGCCCUGCACUUCGGGAUAAGCCUGGUAAACUGGGUCUAAUACCGGCUAGGAGCCAUUUUUAGUGUGAUGGUUGGAAAGUUUUUUCGGUGUAGGAUGAGCUCGCGGCCUAUCAGCUUGUUGGUGGGGUAAUGGCCUACCAAGGCGGCGGCGGGUAGCCGGCCUGAGAGGGUGGACGGCCACACUGGGACUGAGAGACGGCCCAGACUCCGACGGGAGGCAGCAGGGGGGAAGAUUGACCAAUGGGCGCAAGCCUGAUGCAGCGACGCCGCGUGGGGGAUGACGGCCUUCGGGUUGUAAACUCAUUUCGCUAGGGACGAAGCUUUUUGUGACGGUACCUAGAUAAGAAGCACCGGCUAACUACGUG